AGAGUUUGAUCCUGGCUCAGGACGAACGCUGGCGGCGUGCUUAACACAUGCAAGUCGAACGGAAAGGCCCUGCUUUUGUGGGGUGCUCGAGUGGCGAACGGGUAAGUAACACGUGAGUAACCUGCCCUUGACUUUGGGAUAACUUCAGGAAACUGGGGCUAAUACCGGAUAGGAGCUCCUGCUGCAUGGUGGGGGUUGGAAAGUUUCGGCGGUUGGGGAUGGACUCGCGGCUUAUCAGCUUGUUGGUGGGGUAGUGGCUUACCAAGGGCUUUGACGGGUAGCCGGCCUGAGAGGGUGACCGGCCACAUUGGGACUGAGAUACGGCCCAGACUCCUACGGGAGGCAGCAGUGGGGAAUAUUGCACAAUGGGCGGAAGCCUGAUGCAGCAACGCCGCGUGCGGGAUGACGGCCUUCGGGUUGUAAACCGCUUUCGCCUGUGACGAAGCGUGAGUGACGGUAAUGGGUAAAGAAGCACCGGCUAACUACGUGCCAGCAGCCGCGGUGAUACGUAGGGUGCGAGCGUUGUCCGGAUUUAUUGGGCGUAAAGGGCUCGUAGGUGGUUCAUCGCGUCGGAAGUGUAAUCUUGGGGCUUAACCCUGAGCGUGCUUUCGAUACGGGUUGACUUGAGGAAGGUAGGGGAGAAUGGAAUUCCUGGUGGAGCGGUGGAAUGCGCAGAUAUCAGGAGGAACACCAGUGGCGAAGGCGGUUCUCUGGGCCUUUCCUGACGCUGAGGAGCGAAAGCGUGGGGAGCGAACAGGCUUAGAUACCCUGGUAGUCCACGCUGUAAACGGUGGGUACUAGGUGUGGGGUCCAUUCCACGGGUUCCGUGCCGUAGCUAACGCUUUAAGUACCCCGCCUGGGGAGUACGGCCGCAAGGCUAAAACUCAAAGGAAUUGACGGGGCCCCGCACAAGCGGCGGAGCAUGCGGAUUAAUUCGAUGCAACGCGUAGAACCUUACCUGGGUUUGACAUGGAUCGGGAGCGCUCAGAGAUGGGUGUGCCUCUUUUGGGGUCGGUUCACAGGUGGUGCAUGGCUGUCGUCAGCUCGUGUCGUGAGAUGUUGGGUUAAGUCCCGCAACGAGCGCAACCCUUGUUCACUGUUGCCAGCACGUUAUGGUGGGGACUCAGUGGAGACCGCCGGGGUCAACUCGGAGGAAGGUGGGGAUGACGUCAAGUCAUCAUGCCCCUUAUGUCCAGGGCUUCACGCAUGCUACAAUGGCUGGUACAGAGAGUGGCGAGCCUGUGAGGGUGAGCGAAUCUCGGAAAGCCGGUCUCAGUUCGGAUUGGGGUCUGCAACUCGACCUCAUGAAGUCGGAGUCGCUAGUAAUCGCAGAUCAGCAACGCUGCGGUGAAUAAGUUCCCGGGGCUUGCACA
This 1373-nucleotide ribosomal RNA is filed under the name uncultured bacterium. RNAcentral's name for it is "bacterial SSU rRNA". It matches the Rfam family "Bacterial small subunit ribosomal RNA". The record is from RNAcentral.